This 410-nucleotide ribosomal RNA is filed under the name uncultured Methylomirabilota bacterium. Its description in RNAcentral is "bacterial SSU rRNA". It matches the Rfam family "Bacterial small subunit ribosomal RNA", at positions 1025 to 1434 of the family's 1533-position model. The record is from RNAcentral. Lineage: Bacteria; Methylomirabilota (SeqCode).
AGCGUGGAGACAGGUGGUGCAUGGCUGUCGUCAGCUCGUGUCGUGAGAUGUUGGGUUAAGUCCCGCAACGAGCGCAACCCUCACCCCUUGUUGCUACCAGGUAAAGCUGGGCACUCUAGGGGAACCGCCCCGGUCAACGGGGAGGAAGGCGGGGAUGACGUCAAGUCAUCAUGCCCCUUACGUCCUGGGCUACACACGUGCUACGAUGGCCGGUACAAAGGGAUGCCACACCGCGAGGUAGAGCUAAACCCAAAAAGCCGGUCUAAGUUCAGAUUGGAGUCUGCAACUCGACUCCAUGAAGGAGGAAUCGCUAGUAAUCGCGUAUCAGCACGACGCGGUGAAUACGUUCCCGGGCCUUGUACACACCGCCCGUCACACCACGAAAGCCAGCUGUACUCGAAGUCGCUGAG